This 237-nucleotide long non-coding RNA is filed under the name Elaeis guineensis (African oil palm). RNAcentral describes it as "long non-coding RNA (EGUI_LNC054344)". Lineage: Eukaryota; Viridiplantae; Streptophyta; Magnoliopsida; Arecales; Arecaceae. The record is from RNAcentral.
CCCUUCAUUACUUCAUACAAGAAAUGUUUCUAUGUGAAUGUUUUUCAUGCCCACAAGAGAUUUGUCUCCUUUGUAUUAGGAUAAGUUUGGUUCAUAAUUCAAAUUCAAAUACUUUGAAUUUGACUUAAAACAACCUAGUGCUUAUCCUUAUCCUUUGCUUGUCGCAUACACCUUAAGAAAGCUGAUCAUUUGCAUGAUAAUUGAGAAGGAAAUUAUGUGAGAAAUAUCUCAUGCCUC